Molecule: ribosomal RNA, 253 nt
Filed under: uncultured bacterium
Lineage: Bacteria
Description: partial 16S ribosomal RNA
Rfam family: Bacterial small subunit ribosomal RNA
Source: RNAcentral
UACGUAGGGUGCAAGCGUUAAUCGGAAUUACUGGGCGUAAAGCGUGCGCAGGCGGUUUUGUAAGACUGUCGUGAAAUCCCCGGGCUUAACCUGGGAAUGGCGAUGGUGACUGCAAGGUUAGAGUUUGGCAGAGGGGGGUAGAAUUCCACGUGUAGCAGUGAAAUGCGUAGAGAUGUGGAGGAACACCGAUGGCGAAGGCAGCCCCCUGGGUCAAAACUGACGCUCAUGCACGAAAGCGUGGGGAGCAAACAGG